Molecule: ribosomal RNA, 264 nt
Filed under: uncultured archaeon
Lineage: Archaea
Description: partial 16S ribosomal RNA
Rfam family: Archaeal small subunit ribosomal RNA
Source: RNAcentral
AGUCACUGACAUUAGAUACCCCCGUAGUCCAGGGUGUAAACGCUGCAGACUUGGUGUUGGAAGUCCUUUGGGGGCAUUCAGUGCCGGAGAGAAGUUGUUAAGUCUGCUACUUGGGGAGUACGUCCGCAAGGAUGAAACUUAAAGGAAUUGGCGGGGGAGCACCGCAACGGGAGGAGCGUGCGGUUUAAUUGGAUUCAACACCGUAAACUCACCAGGGAAGACUGUUACAUGAAGGCCGAGAUGAAGACUCUGCUAGAUUUUCAG